UGUCAUAGUAAGGAGGGGCUUUUCUUCAGCAGACUCCUCCCUCGGUAUCUCCUUCAUCACCAUGGCAACAGCCUUAUCUGCCGCCCUAGAGCCUUUUCCCUAUAACAGUGAAAUCAACAAUGACUGUGUCAGGAGAGAUCUUUAACUUAUUAUUUAUUACAAGAUAUUCUAAUGUUUAAAGAGCAAUCCAACAUAAAUGAAGAGAACAUAAGAAACAGCAUACACAAUACUGGACAUCACAGGACCCUCUCCGGCUGGAUACCAGGCUGUAGAACCACCAGAUGCUUCAGAUGAGAAAGGUUGGAUCUGUUUCACAGGGAAGGGGCUAAACUGUUUCAAGAGGCGACCACGCGCUGGGCACUCUGUACUUUGCAACCUACCAAGUAUCAUCACAAGAGCUAUGAAAGUGAAGAGAGACAUACGUUAUCUAAGAAUCUGAGAGAGAUGACUCAGUCAGCAUCCUCUCUCUUGGUGUACAAUGGUAGGGACAGCUACUGUGUCAUCUGGAGCAUGACAAUGAGAACACAGACACUGGAUCGUCCUGAUAUAGCCUGCAGUCCAUCUGGGCCUCUAGACAUUCAUUUGCAUUUGCAUUCAUGCGCAUCCCCUACUACUCCAACUCCUACACCUUUUGGCAGGAUAUAUCCACACAGCUGGAUUGGAAUCACAAGAUGUUUUUAUUUUUUGCCUCAUUAAACUAGUUUCUCUCA
RNAcentral lists this long non-coding RNA (710 nucleotides) under Homo sapiens (human). RNAcentral describes it as "HSALNT0064835". The record is from RNAcentral. Lineage: Eukaryota; Metazoa; Chordata; Mammalia; Primates; Hominidae.